RNAcentral lists this ribosomal RNA (496 nucleotides) under uncultured bacterium. Its description in RNAcentral is "partial 16S ribosomal RNA". It matches the Rfam family "Bacterial small subunit ribosomal RNA", at positions 28 to 506 of the family's 1533-position model. The record is from RNAcentral.
GAUGAACGCUGGCGGCGUGCCUAAUACAUGCAAGUCGAGCGAACAGAUGAGGAGCUUGCUCCUCUGACGUUUGCGGCGGACGGGUGAGUAACACGUGGAUAACCUACCUAUAAGACUGGGAUAACUUCGGGAAACCGGAGCUAAUACCGGAUAAUAUAUUGAACCGCAUGGUUCAAUAGUGAAAGACGGUUUUGCUGUCACUUAUAGAUGGAUCCGCGCCGCAUUAGCUAGUUGGUAAGGUAACGGCUUACCAAGGCAACGAUGCGUAGCCGACCUGAGAGGGUGAUCGGCCACACUGGAACUGAGACACGGUCCAGACUCCUACGGGAGGCAGCAGUAGGGAAUCUUCCGCAAUGGGCGAAAGCCUGACGGAGCAACGCCGCGUGAGUGAUGAAGGUCUUCGGAUCGUAAAACUCUGUUAUUAGGGAAGAACAAAUGUGUAAGUAACUAUGCACGUCUUGACGGUACCGAAGCAGAAAGCCACGGCUAACUACGU